UACGUAGGGGGCUAGCGUUGUCCGGAAUCAUUGGGCGUAAAGCGCACGUAGGCGGCUUUGUAAGUUAGAGGUGAAAGCCCGGAGCUCAACUCCGGAAUUGCCUUUAAGACUGCAUCGCUUGAAUCCGGGAGAGGUGAGUGGAAUUCCGAGUGUAGAGGUGAAAUUCGUAGAUAUUCGGAAGAACACCAGUGGCGAAGGCGGCUCACUGGACCGGUAUUGACGCUGAGGUGCGAAAGCGUGGGGAGCAAACAGG
This 253-nucleotide ribosomal RNA is filed under the name uncultured bacterium. RNAcentral's name for it is "partial 16S ribosomal RNA". It matches the Rfam family "Bacterial small subunit ribosomal RNA", at positions 524 to 776 of the family's 1533-position model. The record is from RNAcentral.